UACCUGCAGCUCAAGUGGUGAUCACUAUUAUUGGGCCUAAAACGUCCGUAGCCGGUUUAUUAAACGCCUGGGUAAAUCGUGUAGCUUAACUAUACGAAUUCCGGGUAGACUGUUAAACUUGAGACCGGGAGAAGCUAGAGGUACUCCUGGGGUAGAGGUGAAAUUCUGUAAUCCUAGGGGGACCACCAGUGGCGAAGGCGUCUAGCUAGAACGGGUCUGACGGUGAGGGACGAAGCCCUGGGGCACAAACCGGAUUAGAUACCCGGGUAGUCCAGGGUGUAAACGCUGCUUGCUUGAUGUUAGUUGGGCUCCGAGCCCAGCUAGUGUCGGAGAGAAGUUGUUAAGCAAGCUGCCUGGGAAGUACGGUCGCAAGGCUGAAACUUAAAGGAAUUGGCGGGGGAGCACAGCAACGGGUGGAGCGUGCGGUUU
This 429-nucleotide ribosomal RNA is filed under the name uncultured archaeon. Its description in RNAcentral is "bacterial SSU rRNA". It matches the Rfam family "Archaeal small subunit ribosomal RNA", at positions 474 to 903 of the family's 1478-position model. The record is from RNAcentral.